GUCCAUACAAACUAAUGGUGUAUGACAUAGUAAGUAAUUCUAGCCAUUUGAGAAACUUCAUGAGUCAAUAAACAUUAAGAUGAUAGGCACCCAGCAGUGUGCUCCAUGUUGUAUCUUAUAAAAAAAUGAAUACAUCUGCAAAUGUAUCUGCAAAACAGGGUGCCUUAUGAUAUGCAGCACACCUCUAAUACUGAAAGAGCCUUGACUGGACUAGUACCUGGAAAGAAAAUCCACAUGCUCUGGUAUAUAGGAAUAUUUGGCAAAUCUGAAUUAAGCUCCAAAGUGUAGUAAGUGGUAUUCAUCUCCCUGUAUGGAUGCUCUUACUCAGAAUGAAAGUAGCUUAAAUAACAUUUCUUCCCACAGGACUCGAUUCAAACAAGGAUUUAGGAGUGUUUAGCUGGAGUUGUUUCAAGACCUGUGUCUCAAGUGUAAGGAGCAUUACCUGCAAGACAGGGAUAUCUUUCACUUGACAAGUAGGACUGAAAAUAUUUGGACUCCUUUCAAUUUAUUUUACAAGUGUUAGUGCUUGUCCUGGCUAAAUUCCAGGCAGCAGUAAGAGUGGAUUUAAGGAAGGGAGUUGGAAGACAUGAGGGAUGUCCUCUUGUGAAGACUCUAGAUACUCUGAAUUCAAUUAUCUGCUUAAACAUAUUUUUUCUUUGUCACCUUGACAAGUCAGAGUUUCUAUCUCCUUUCUUUGAAUUUAGUAAAAGAGAAGGAUUGGUGGCUGGAGGAUGGGGAGUAAUUGUACUUUUCAGAGAGCAGUCCUAUGAAGGCAUCUUCAAGACCCAAGAGAGGGCUGCUACCGCACAAGCUUCAUGGUGAUGUGAUGAAGAUCCAAGACGCUGAACACACACAUGCGUAUACAAAAAUUAUGUUACUCUUCAAACUUCUUGCCAAAUGCCACCAUACUGUCUUAUUCAGCUGGGAUGAAAUUGUUAUCUUCAGAGUGUUUGCUAUGAUGCUAUGUUCCGGUUCUAGGAGAAAAACAAUGUUGAUAACACACCAAUGUUUAUAGUUGCUGCUAAGCAGUAUUGUACAGAGCCAAGGUUAUUCACCUCCUAUUCACCAAAAGGCCCAAGGAGAUGGGAGGGAACAGAAUUAGGACAAGUGACUUAAACUGCCAAGUGGAUAUUCCAUACCAGAUGACAGCAUGUGGAAGGAGUUUUGAAGGGGUGAGAGUUCAUCUCUGUCUUCUGCUGCCCAGGAACUAGUUGGACAUUGGUCAGUGGGUAGCAAGCAAUUGCUUGUGCAUCACUUGUUAUAUACAUUCAUAUAUAUAUGAAUAUAUAUAUAUAUAUAUAUAUACAUAUAUAUAUAUAUACGGGUAUAGUCAUAACUAUUAUCCUGUUCAUUUUCUCUUUUUUAUUAAAUAGUUUUAUCUCAAAAUUCAACUUCUUUCUUCUUCCCUGAUUCUCUCCCCCCAUUCCACUGGGAAUGUGGUAAGUGUGCAAAUAACUGUGUAGUCCUGGGCCAUCUGCUGGGUUAAACCACAACACAGAGCAAAAGAUGAGUCUUUAAGCAACUGAAGGACACCAUAUCAUGGAUACUUUAGAGUGAUCAGAGUUCAGACCCCACUGAUAUAACUUAGAGCAAAGACUAGCUCCACAGAUCAGGGUGAAAGUUCAGUCUGUGAUAUGGGUACAAGACAGUCACAUGGUGUACUUUUUAAAAGUAUUUGCAAGUAAUGCUGGCAGCAAAUUUGUUUUGCUGUGUAAUGACCCACUCAUUCUUGUCUUCUGUUGCCUUUCAUUUCUGUUUUUUGUUUUUUUUUCCCCUUGAACUAGGAUGUAGGCAAUGAUCAGUGGGUGUGAGGCGUAACAUAAGAGGUCCCACAUAAAUAUGAGAAAAAACUUAUUCACGAUGAGGGUGACAGAACACUGAGAUAGGCUGC
RNAcentral lists this long non-coding RNA (1891 nucleotides) under Coturnix japonica (Japanese quail). RNAcentral describes it as "lncRNA (ENSCJPG00005017577.1)". The record is from RNAcentral. Lineage: Eukaryota; Metazoa; Chordata; Aves; Galliformes; Phasianidae.